RNAcentral lists this ribosomal RNA (764 nucleotides) under marine metagenome. RNAcentral describes it as "bacterial SSU rRNA". It matches the Rfam family "Bacterial small subunit ribosomal RNA", at positions 582 to 1344 of the family's 1533-position model. The record is from RNAcentral.
AUUAAGUCAAUUGUGAAAGCUCAAGGCUUAACCUUGAAAUUGCUUUUGAUACUGAUGAACUAGAGUUUGGGAGAGGAUAGUGGAAUUCUAAGUGUAGAAGUGAAAUUCGUAGAUAUUUAGAGGAACACCGAUAGCGAAGGCAACUAUCUGGCCCUUUACUGACACUCAGAAGCGAAAGCUUGGGUAGCAAACAGGAUUAGAUACCCUGGUAGUCCAUGCUGUAAACGAUGAGUGCUAGAUGUUAGAAGUUUACUUCUAGUAUCGAAGCUAACGCGUUAAGCACUCCGCCUGGGGAGUACGGCCGCAAGGCUAAAACUCAAAUGAAUUGACGGGGACCCGCACAAGUAGUGGAGCAUGUGGUUUAAUUCGACGCUACGCGAAAAACCUUACCAGCUCUUGACAUGCUAAGUUUUGAGUUUAAGAGAUUAAAUUCUUCAGUUCGGCUGGGCUUAGUACAGGUGCUGCAUGGCUGUCGUCAGCUCGUGUCGUGAGAUGUUCGGUUAAGUCCGGCAACGAGCGCAACCCUCAUCUUCAGUUACUAACAGGUUAAGCUGAGGACUCUGGAGAAACUGCCGUUGGAAAAGCGGAGGAAGGCGAGGAUGACGUCAAGUCCUCAUGGCCCUUAUGGGCUGGGCUACACACGUGCUACAAUGGUAAUUACAAUAAGUCGCGAAAUGGCAACAUUGAGCUAAUCUUUAAAAAUUAUCUUAGUUCAGAUUGUUCUCUGCAACUCGAGAGCAUGAAGUUGGAAUUGCUAGUAAUCG